UACGUAGGGUGCGAGCGUUGUCCAAUUACUGGGCGUAAAGAGCUCGUAGGUGGUUUGUCGCGUUGUUCGUGAAAACUCACAGCUUAACUGUGGGCGUGCGGGCGAUACGGGCAGACUGGAGUACUGCAGGGGAGACUGGAAUUCCUGGUGUAGCGGUGGAAUGCGCAGAUAUCAGGAGGAACACCGGUGGCGAAGGCGGGUCUCUGGGCAGUAACUGACGCUGAGGAGCGAAAGCGUGGGGAGCGAACAGG
This 251-nucleotide ribosomal RNA is filed under the name uncultured bacterium. RNAcentral's name for it is "partial 16S ribosomal RNA". It matches the Rfam family "Bacterial small subunit ribosomal RNA", at positions 524 to 776 of the family's 1533-position model. The record is from RNAcentral.